RNAcentral lists this ribosomal RNA (460 nucleotides) under uncultured bacterium. RNAcentral describes it as "partial 16S ribosomal RNA". It matches the Rfam family "Bacterial small subunit ribosomal RNA", at positions 338 to 795 of the family's 1533-position model. The record is from RNAcentral.
CCUACGGGUGGCUGCAGUGAGGAAUAUUGGUCAAUGGGCGGAAGCCUGAACCAGCCAAGUCGCGUGAGGGAUUAAGGCCCUAUGGGUCGUAAACCUCUUUUGUCAGGGAGCAAGGUCGUCCACGUGUGGGCGUAUGGAGAGUACCUGAAGAAAAAGCAUCGGCUAACUCCGUGCCAGCAGCCGCGGUAAUACGGAGGAUGCGAGCGUUAUCCGGAUUCAUUGGGCUUAAAGGGAGCGUAGGCGGGCGUUCAAGUCAGCUGUAAAAUCGCGCGGCUCAACCGCGCCCCGCAGUUGAAACUGGACGCCUUGAGUUCACAACAGGCAGGCGGAAUUCGUGGUGUAGCGGUGAAAUGCAUAGAUAUCACGAGGAACCCCGAUUGCGAAGGCAGCCUGCCGGGGUGCGACUGACGCUGAGGCUCGAAGGUGCGGGUAUCAAACAGGAUUAGAUACCCUUGUAGUC